AUUGAACGCUGGCGGCAUGCCUUACACAUGCAAGUCGAACGGCAGCACGGGAGCAAUCCUGGUGGCGAGUGGCGAACGGGUGAGUAAUAUAUCGGAACGUGCCCAGUCGUGGGGAUAACGUAGCGAAAGCUACGCUAAUACCGCAUACGAUCUAUGGAUGAAAGCGGGGGGAUCGCAAGACCUCGCGCGAUUGGAGCGGCCGAUAUCAGAUUAGGUAGUUGGUGAGGUAAAGGCUCACCAAGCCGACGAUCUGUAGCUGGUCUGAGAGGACGACCAGCCACACUGGGACUGAGACACGGUCCAGACUCCUACGGGAGGCAGCAGUGGGGAAUUUUUGGGACAAUGGGCGCAAGCCUGAUCCAGCAAUGCCGCGUGCAGGAUGAAGGCCU
RNAcentral lists this ribosomal RNA (389 nucleotides) under uncultured bacterium. Its description in RNAcentral is "bacterial SSU rRNA". It matches the Rfam family "Bacterial small subunit ribosomal RNA", at positions 30 to 417 of the family's 1533-position model. The record is from RNAcentral.